UUGAACGCUGGCGGCAUGCCUUACACAUGCAAGUCGAACGGCAGCACGGGAGCAAUCCUGGUGGCGAGUGGCGAACGGGUGAGGAAUACAUCGGAAUCUACCCUGUCGGUGGGGAUAACGUAGGGAAACUUACGCUAAUACCGCAUACGAACUGAGGUUGAAAGCGGCGGACCGCAAGGCGUCGCGCGAUUGGAUGAGCCGAUGUCCGAUUAGCUAGUUGGCGGGGUAAUGGCCCACCAAGGCGACGAUCGGUAGCUGGUCUGAGAGGAUGAUCAGCCACACUGGAACUGAGACACGGUCCAGACUCCUACGGGAGGCAGCAGUGGGGAAUAUUGGACAAUGGGCGAAAGCCUGAUCCAGCCAUUCCGCGUGCAGGAUGAAGGCCCUCGGGUUGUAAACUGCUUUUGUACAGAACGAAAAGGUCUCUAUUAAUACUAGGGGCUCAUGACGGUACUGUAAGAAUAAGCACCGGCUAACUACGUG
This 483-nucleotide ribosomal RNA is filed under the name uncultured bacterium. RNAcentral describes it as "bacterial SSU rRNA". It matches the Rfam family "Bacterial small subunit ribosomal RNA", at positions 30 to 507 of the family's 1533-position model. The record is from RNAcentral.